GCUGUCGUAGCUCAAUUGGUAGAGCAGUCGCCUUGUAAGCGACAGGUUAUCAGUUCAAGUCUGAUCGGCAGCU
Molecule: transfer RNA, 73 nt
Filed under: Bacteriophage sp.
Also listed under: 2 other names
Description: tRNA-Thr
Rfam family: tRNA
About the family: Transfer RNA (tRNA) molecules are approximately 80 nucleotides in length. Their secondary structure includes four short double-helical elements and three loops (D, anti-codon, and T loops). Further hydrogen bonds mediate the characteristic L-shaped molecular structure. tRNAs have two regions of fundamental functional importance: the anti-codon, which is responsible for specific mRNA codon recognition, and the 3' end, to which the tRNAs corresponding amino acid is attached (by aminoacyl-tRNA synthetases). tRNAs cope with the degeneracy of the genetic code in two manners: having more than one tRNA (with a specific anti-codon) for a particular amino acid; and 'wobble' base-pairing, i.e. permitting non-standard base-pairing at the 3rd anti-codon position.
Source: RNAcentral